GGGCGGGUGCUGCUGGAGACCCGCGCGCGGUCGUCAUUUCCUAACCCGCCUGCGGGCCCUGGCGCGUGCGCGGCGUCGGAGCAAGCGGCCCCUUCCUUCGGCCCCGCCCAGCCCCGCCGGCCGCCCGCUCCCUGGGGAACCGAGGGAGGAAUGGGCGGGGUCCUCAGGUGCCCGGCGACGUCAUCCAGCCCCCAAGGCUCCAGGACGCAAAGGGUCCCCUGAUCUGGCAGUCCCUGGACCUACCCUGGAGAGCGUGGGGGGACAAAGGCCGGACGCGCCGCCCGCUGCCGCCUCCAGGAAGCCCUCCCUUGCCAGGACAGUGGAGUUGGCCGGCUGAACAGGAAAAGGAACAGUCCUUCCAAAGUGCCUACGGAAAGCUUUGUCCCAUCCUUGAAAAAUUGCUAAUGGGUUUGGAGAUACGAGGUGGAGAUGACUAGCAAUCAAACUCAAAGGUGGAAGUCACAUCGAGGCAGAUGAGCAGAUGAGGGGACCUAGAGAAGAAGAGAGGUGCAAGGAGAGCCCAGCCAGCAGGAACAUCUGCCCCAGUAGGCAGCACUGCCCCACAUCAGAGUCGAGGAAAGCAAAGCUCGGAUUGGAUAAAAGAAACUUGCAAACACGGUCAGUGCUUACUGCAUGUGGGCUCAGAGCACGUUACCCUCCUUCCCUGCAUGUUCCUGUGAAACGGGUUUACUGCUCUAACUCUCAGGGACACUGUGAAGACCAAACGAGAAAAUAGAAACAAACAUAAUUUAUAAACCAUAAAGUACUGACACCAAAAGAGGGGCGAGCACAGCAUUGUGAAUGUGCUGGUACUAAAUGGUUUGUUUUAAGAUGAUUUUAUGGUGUGUGAAUUUCACUUGAAUAAAUUUUUUUAAUGGAGUUCA
RNAcentral lists this long non-coding RNA (884 nucleotides) under Homo sapiens (human). RNAcentral describes it as "HSALNT0350528". The record is from RNAcentral. Lineage: Eukaryota; Metazoa; Chordata; Mammalia; Primates; Hominidae.